CAACAACAACAAAAAAAGUCUGAUCUCAGACUUCCCACAAUCUCUCUGUUCAAAUCCCACCUUACUCCGGCGAGUGGGACUGACUCAGCGAGUCUCCGAUCGAGUCAGAUGGGGACGGGAACUAACGGCGAGUUGAAGUACGAGAUCUCACAGAACGCCUACAUCAAACUCGUCCUCCACUCCCUUCGCCACAAGACGGCGGCGGUCAACGGAGUCCUCGUCGGUCGAAUCAGCCCCAACGACGAAGGCGUCGUGGAGAUCUCCGAUUCCGUGCCGCUCUUUCACUCCAACCUCCCCCUCCUUCCUCCUCUCGAAAUCUCCCUCAUCAUGAUAGAGCAGCAUUACGUGGCUCAAGGUUUGAGUGUUGUUGGCUACUUUCACGCCAACCAGAGGUUCGAUGACGUGGAGGUCUCUGGUGUGGCUAAGAACAUUGGUGAUCACAUCUCUCGCUACUUCCCUCACGCACCGAUUCUCUUGUUGAACAACAAGAAGCUUGAAGCCUUGUCACAGGGUACCGGCGGCAGCGGCAGCGUCAACAUUCUGCGUUAAUUUUUGUUCGUUUUGUUGAUGUACGUCUGACGCCACGUCCUGCGGCUGACGCCGAUAAAACCUACGGUUGCGACAUAAUCUGCGGCAGCGUCAGCGAAACGAAUAACAACUGUCCUCAUUGACGCUGCCGCUGACGCUGACGCCGAAACCUGCGGCAACCAAAAACCAAACGAACAUGGCUUUAGUCAAUUAAGGAACAUAUAUAUAUUAAUGAGCUUUGAUAUGGGAUUUAGAUUUACAUGUUAUUUAAUUUUGUUGCAUUUUAUUCGUUUAGUAAUUCUUUAUGUUAGUGUGUGUAUAUUCUAGCUUUGUGUGAGGGAUGCUUCCAAGAACUGGAGAGUGGUUGGAGCUGAUGGAGGAAGCAAGUUGCUCUUAAAAGAGCCAUCCGCCAAUGUGGUUUUGUCAGAUUACAUUUCGUCUGAGAAGUGGAAAGACGUCAUAGAUUUUGAUGAACAUCUUGAUGAUUUGACCAAGGACUGGCUAAACCCUGGACUUUUCAACUGAACACGGGCUUGCAAUAUAGUUAAUUAGAGUUUUGCUUUCAUCAUCUUCAGUCGAAAAACAAAAUAUUCUCAGACCCUUCUUGUUUACAGUUUCCUUUAAAUCUUGUUCAAGUAUUAUCCAGAGCUUACAGAACAGAGGUCAGUUUACUUUUAAUUGGUCCCAUCUUGAACCAAAAUUUUAUCAUUUUAAUGAUAUAUUUUGGGGCUUGUUCUCGUGAUCGA
RNA transcript from Brassica napus (rape), 1274 nucleotides. It is a transcript of the gene named ER membrane protein complex subunit 8/9 homolog, with no coding region annotated. The transcript has 4 exons. The record is from RefSeq and is a predicted model, not a curated record. Lineage: Eukaryota; Viridiplantae; Streptophyta; Magnoliopsida; Brassicales; Brassicaceae.